UAUGAGCAAGAGGGUCUUUGCACUGGUCCGU
Molecule: non-coding RNA, 31 nt
Filed under: Mus musculus (house mouse)
Lineage: Eukaryota; Metazoa; Chordata; Mammalia; Rodentia; Muridae
Source: RNAcentral